Molecule: small RNA, 125 nt
Filed under: Marmota monax (woodchuck)
Lineage: Eukaryota; Metazoa; Chordata; Mammalia; Rodentia; Sciuridae
Source: RNAcentral
GCCGGGUGUGGUGGCACACACCUGUAAUCCCAGAGGCACAGGAGGCUGAAACAGGAGGAUGGAGAGUUCAAAGCCAACCUCAGCAAAAGCGAGGUGUUAAGCAACUCAGUGAGACCCUGUCUCUA